UGGAAACAUAACAGAAAGGUGCUCAGUGA
RNAcentral lists this non-coding RNA (29 nucleotides) under Rattus norvegicus (Norway rat). Lineage: Eukaryota; Metazoa; Chordata; Mammalia; Rodentia; Muridae. The record is from RNAcentral.